AAUCCGUCAAUCGUCUAAAAGUGUUUAUAGAACACAAUUCGCUUGUUAUAAUUGCAUUUUACUUCUCAUUUCGUUUUUAAAGGCAACGAAAACAAAUUAUAAAAAUUGAAAUUUCCAAUCGUAUCGGUAGUUAUUUAUAAACGACUUUAUGAAGACGACCAUAUAAUGUUAAUCAGCUCAAAUGUGCCCUGAUAAGCUAAAAGUAAGUCAGUUCAGAAGCAGCAGCCGACUUCAACUGUAGAGGAGUCGGCAGCUUCUGCUAUAGAGGAGGUGACGGCUCCUACUAUGGAAGACGGUAGCUUCAGCAAUAGAGGAGGAGACGGCUUCUACUAUGGAGGACGGUGGCUUCAGCAAUAGACGAAACGUCAGCUCGAACUAUAGAGGAGGAGGAGGUGGCCUUAAGGCCACGGAGACUAUUCUUUAAGUAAUGCAGGAGACGGCAGCUUCUACUAUGGGGGAUGCGACAGCUUUAUCAAAAGAGGAGUUGAUAGAUUGAAAAGAUUGAUUGUGAUGUGAUUAUAUAAAAGUUCGUCUCCCGCCUACCGAUUGAUGACGAUAAAAUAAUGUUGCGUGUGAAUUAACAGAGUUCUGGGAGGAGUUGGCCGCUUAUCAGUGGCCAGAAUGGGCCCUAUCAUAAUUGCAGGCAGACGUCGCGUCGCGCUGAUGUCAAUGAAACAGUUUUUCACAUUUUCAAACUACUCCGCCCCUCUCUCUCUCUCUCUAUCACCCUGUCUCUAUCGAGGGUUUCGAGCACAAGUGAAAAACGUGAUCAGCUCGUGUUCGUGCGGCUUCAGGCGAACCACAAACAAGGCCUGGGUCUUUAAAUAGACGUAGAGUCGCGUCGUACAUUUCUAUAUUUGCAUAAUAAAUCGCAUAAUUAAGUUUCAAGCGGGAGCUACAAUGGAAAAUUACGCGGCAAAAUUACGCGAUGCAAAACAACAUAUAUUAAUCGAUCAUCGGUUGCAUUUUCUAAGCGCCUAUUCCAUUGACCCUCACCCAACGAUAACAGUUUUUCAAACGAUUUUUCAAAUGAUUAUAAGGUUAUACAAUUUCUAGUAUGGGGCUUUUUAUAUAUAUGCAUGUAUGUAUUGCAGUUAGCUGUAAUAUAUUCCAUUUCCCUUAUGCAUUGAAGCGAAUUUGCAACAGUUUUCUUCUUCUCUUUUAUGCGAGAUCUGUUGCCAAAUAAUUGAUCACGCCGCGAUCAGGUGCUCUAGGUCAGUAACGGCAUGAUUUUCGUCCGCCAAAAAUAAACCCAGCUAUAUUUAUGAAUUUUGUGUUUAGUUUAUGCUGCGCAGUUUAUCAGCUGCCCUUGCCCCCGCCCCAAACAACGACCCCCGUCCCAGUCUGCGCAUCAAGAUCGCGCCUGCAUUGAUAAGAACUGAGUCGCACGCCUCGUUUCUAAAUUUAAACCUUCGGGCGGGUUUACUUAUGUCUACUACAAAUACUAUAUAAUAUAUGCUAGGCAUAUGCUAAGUAUUUUCUAGCUAAACAGCCACAAGUCGUAGAUACGCCCAUUUUUUGCUGUUCCUAAAUAGAGUACAUAAUCGCUGAUAAUCUUUUCACUUUUGGCGCCGCUGAUGUUGCUGAUAUUGGCAGCUCGGCUGAUUUCGUCAGCUUGUUGUUGCUAUUGCCCAGCUGACUAGCUGCCCCCCAGUUCUCGGGUCCAGACCCUAUCCCAGACGACGUUGCGCGUUUAUUUUUGUACACUGCAUUUGGCUUGGCUUCCAGGCAUGACAAAGUCGAGGGCAAAACGUGGCGAUUUUGUUCCCUAGAAGAAGUGUGUGUUAACAUCAGUUAUUAGAUGCAAUUCACGCACUCAACGAAUGAUACAAUUUUGUAAUAUUAUAAAAUAUCAAUUUCGUACAUAUUCCAUGUGUGAGUUUGAGUUCUGCGAAACAUUGCAUGGUUCACAACUGCUUCAAAAUUCAUUCAUAGACAUAACACUCGGCCAAAGAUCAAAAUACCAACUUGUUUAAGUUCAGAUUACACUAUAAGUCGUAACUAGACUUUGAUAGAAAGCUAUAGUUUUUGGAUAAUAUACUUUAUCACUGGAUCUGUGUUCCAUCCCACCCAGCCAAAAAAGGAAAGUCGUCAAUUAAAUAAUGCAUCACAUCCGCUGCUCGGAUCACACAUGAAAAUUAUAACAGAAAUAGACAGACAGCUGGCUAUAAGACAUAAAUAUAAAUAUUUUAGUGAAAUAUUUGCAGUUUUUCAAGUGCGCUUCAUAAUCGAGUCUGAGGAUUGUGACUGCUGCACAUGGCCAACGCUUCAAAGGGCACUGCACCAAGAUAGCAUCAAGGUGGAGAGAGAGAGAAAGGAAGAUCACCCUGAGUAGGGGGCUAGUCGAGUCUAUGUGCAUAUAUAGUAUAGUAUAUAUAGGCAAAUGUUGAUGGAGUGGCCGGCAAAAACGCGACAAGCCACUCCAGAAACGAAGCAGCGUUAAACCGGCUCUUAGCCAAGGCAAUCGGGUGGUGGUCAGGAAGGAGCAGCGACUAGGUGAACAAGUGCCGACCAGCCGGCCGGCCGGCACAUCUGCGCAGCGCACUCUGAAACCGGCCUGAGAGAUGCUGUGAGCCCCAAAAGCAAAUAAGUUACUUGGACUUGGAGUAGCGUGUGUGUUGCGUGCUCGUAUUUCCCCUACCCAAGUGCCACCCAAUGAAAGUGGCACAGUGGUUACGGAUCAAUCGAAACACUUGAACAAACUUGUUGGACCCUUCAUCCAAAAAUGCAUUAUCAUAAGAGACAGAUCACGCAUUGUGAGAGCAUUUCUCGUCUACCUAAGGCCCGACUAAGACCUACGCCGCCAUUUCUGAAUGUCAACGAGUCACGCACGCCACACACAAAUACACACACGGGCACACACACACAGACACACUUUCUAUGCACCAGACAAGAAAAACACUCAGACCCAUACGAUGCGUGGCGGAGAAUGUCGACAAUUUCCCAGAGUUGUCGUCGUCAUCUAUCUGAUGAUGUGGGUAAUACAAAUGAAAACGCUCGUAAGUCCCUUUAUGUGGUAUUUUUAAUGGGUUCAUUGGAUAAAUUAAUAGCUAAUAGAAAUAUUAUAUUAUAAAAGUUGGAAUACAAUUAUUUAUUUAUAUACGUAGACAUCGAUUUGCUUUUUACUCCUAAAUCCCACUUGGAUCAGAUAAUUGAUUUAAAUAUAAAAAUUGUGAUAUAAUUUCUUUAUAAUUCAACACUUGUCAUGCCUUUAGCGCAACCGAUAUGCUUGCUGAAUUUAAACGUAGCGCAUGAGAAAGUCGAUGAAAAAAACCAGAUUACACAGCGACAACUUUUACACAAUUCCCCCCAAAAGCAUAAUUGAUUUAGAGCUGUCGACUCGACAAAGACAAUGUAUGACAAACAUAAAUUGCAUAAAGAAAAGCGUAGGCUGUAAAGGUGUUUGGGUUACCGAUUGCAGCUAAGUAUAAGCCCCAAACCUUAUAAAGAGAAACCACUCAAACGACUCGAACCAUAAGACGUCAGCAAGUUGUUGUAGACACUCAAACGAAUGAGUGGGUACUCGUUCGGUGAGUUUUUUCUAUGGGCAUGGCUAAGGAUGCAAGAUUAAAGCAAAUAAGAAGGAUGCAAUAAAUAAAUAGCAUACAAAAUCAGCUGCCUUAAGUCGUAGACGUAGAUGCUGAUCGCACGGAAAGUUGUUUGACAAAACAUAGAAUACAUGUGUGAAUACUUGUACGACUAUUCGCAUUUAUUAAUAAAACGAAUGCCCAAAAUGAUCGCACGCGCUAAUGAUCGUACGCUGAUCAUGUCCAUCCAGCCUGACACAUUAAGUGGCUUUGGCUCUGAGGCGCCAUCUAAACCUAACGAAAAUCGCAACUAAACCAGACGAACUUAACUAAACUGAAUGCCAACAACAACUAUCGCUGCACUAUCAUUAAAAUGCAGCCACACUCAGCGUAGAGGGAAUGCGAGGCAGAGAGUGGAUGAGAGAGAGAGAGUGUGCGAGCGCCUUCCAGACCAUACGACGAUCGUACUGUAACGCCGCUCUCUGGGUUCGUGCGGACUGUGGCUGGUGGUGGCCUGAGUCGUUGGGUUGGCCGUUAGCAGUCUUGACGGCGAGUUGCUGUAGCAGCGACAGUUUAUUCGUCUCUGAGUCGUCGAGGCGAACGGUACUCACAGCCGGAUUGCAACAGGCAACAACAAAACGCGAUGCGGUCCUAAUUAUUCGUGUCGUUAAAGCAAAAUACUAAAAAUAACAUCAAAUCAUAUAUAACCACAAAAGAAGAAAAGAAAAGAAAAAACGCGCGAAUUUUUAUUUGUAAAAGAAAAAGGAAUAUAAA
This is a long non-coding RNA of Drosophila novamexicana, 4301 nucleotides long. RefSeq lists it as uncharacterized. The record is from RefSeq and is a predicted model, not a curated record. The transcript has 4 exons. Lineage: Eukaryota; Metazoa; Arthropoda; Insecta; Diptera; Drosophilidae.